ACUUAGGUAGCUUAUAUAAAGUUUAACAUUGAAGCUGUUAAGAUAAGAUUAGAUUCUUCUUAAGUA
Molecule: transfer RNA, 66 nt
Filed under: Reduvius gregoryi
Lineage: Eukaryota; Metazoa; Arthropoda; Insecta; Hemiptera; Reduviidae
Description: tRNA-Phe
Source: RNAcentral